GAAGAGGGUCUCUGCUGGAGGGCACGACUCUCCUGUUUACUACACACCAGGUCACUAUCAGGUCAUCUGGAUGCUGGUGAUAUAAUGAGCAGUUGAAGGACCUCUCUUUCUUUGAUGGUUGAAGCUGUCACAGGGUGACCUCGUUUUGUCAAAGAUUCACCCUUCCAAUGCAAUCCUCCUCCUAUGGUUUGUCAGUUCAUGGAUGCUUUGGCAGCGCCAUCACUUUUCACCUCUGUCUGCCUGCCCAUUCUCCAACGUCCUCUGCUCAGACCCUGCUGGACUUCUCACUCAGGUUCCAAUGGCAAAUAAAGGAUUCCCUUCUGACAAGAUCCAUUUCCAGACACCAACAUCUUUCACCCACCGCCUGGAUCUCCAAGCCCUACCUGGCAUCUGUUUUUCAUCCUGGAACUGUAAGAUCUCUUCUCAACAACUUGCAUGAUUGAAUCAACUUGUGCUCCCCCUUCUAAUCAUUGACUCUCCUUUCUGGACACCAUAGAAACCCGAAAUCCUGACACAUUUUUUGUGUGUCUGCCAUUUAUAAAACAUAUAUUUUCUAAUUCUUUUGACCCACAUGAUUCUCCAUGUGGGUCAGAAAACGUUAACAGUCAACAGCCCAAUAGAGACAGAAAACACACUCCCAGCUUGUGAGAAUGAUUUUUUUUAAGAACUAUAAAAGGUGCGUCAGGGCAAGGAUUUAUUGUCGUCCAAGGAUGUAUUUUUAUGGAAGCUGUAAAUUAAAAUGAGUUUUAUGACACUG
This is a long non-coding RNA of Xiphophorus hellerii (green swordtail), 757 nucleotides long. RefSeq lists it as uncharacterized. The transcript is spliced from 2 exons. NCBI's taxonomy places the organism in Eukaryota, Metazoa, Chordata, Actinopteri, Cyprinodontiformes, Poeciliidae. The record is from RefSeq and is a predicted model, not a curated record.